GUUCAAGUUUUUGAAUAAAAGAUCAAGACCAUCGAACCAAGAUUUGUCUACGGAAAAUGAAGAUUAUGCUUCUCCAAGCACAAGUCAUUUGGCUACAAUCUCCAAUGAUGGCUACAUUUCUGCAGGGACAAGCACACACGGAGCCAGUUCUGAUUCAGACUCAGUCUACAAAUGAAAGUGUCCACCCUAUAAAAACAAACAAAAGCCAGGAAACCUACUGAAGUCAGCUUCAAAGCCAGUUUUUCCAUGGGCCGAUCUGCAUCUACAAGUGACAGCCAUGCCACCCACAGCUGCCAGAUUGGUCACGGAUUUACCGAUGGGGAAAAUCAUCCAUAAACAUAGCCUUUUGAAAAAAGCCAGACUGAAUUUAAGGAGCUGGUCCUGUUUAGGACUACUUAGGAGGCAUGAGGGAGGUCUGCCUGUAUCCCCAAAUGGAGCUCCUUCUGCAACUUAAGAGAGCCCUCUGCUGGUUCAGACACCUUUCUUUCUAUUCUGACAAGGAGGCUAAGCAAACAGUUGGUAAUGCUUUCCUGAGGAUACUUUUGGUUAAACAUGUAUUCAUGCCAUUCAAUUUCUUUAUUUUGG
Long non-coding RNA from Hemicordylus capensis (graceful crag lizard), 585 nucleotides. RefSeq lists it as uncharacterized. The record is from RefSeq and is a predicted model, not a curated record. The transcript is spliced from 3 exons. Lineage: Eukaryota; Metazoa; Chordata; Lepidosauria; Squamata; Cordylidae.